Molecule: ribosomal RNA, 120 nt
Filed under: Danio rerio (zebrafish)
Lineage: Eukaryota; Metazoa; Chordata; Actinopteri; Cypriniformes; Danionidae
Source: RNAcentral
AGCCACAGUCAUAUUACCCUACAGCCCAAGACUGGUUACUCACUGAAGCUAAGCAGGGCUGAGCCUGGUGGUCAGUACCUGGAUGGCAGACCACAUGGGAAAACUAAGUUGCUGUUGCAA